RNAcentral lists this ribosomal RNA (394 nucleotides) under Salmonella enterica subsp. enterica. Its description in RNAcentral is "partial 23S ribosomal RNA". It matches the Rfam family "Bacterial large subunit ribosomal RNA", at positions 2449 to 2837 of the family's 2925-position model. The record is from RNAcentral. Lineage: Bacteria; Pseudomonadati; Pseudomonadota; Gammaproteobacteria; Enterobacterales; Enterobacteriaceae.
UCAACGGAUAAAAGGUACUCCGGGGAUAACAGGCUGAUACCGCCCAAGAGUUCAUAUCGACGGCGGUGUUUGGCACCUCGAUGUCGGCUCAUCACAUCCUGGGGCUGAAGUAGGUCCCAAGGGUAUGGCUGUUCGCCAUUUAAAGUGGUACGCGAGCUGGGUUUAGAACGUCGUGAGACAGUUCGGUCCCUAUCUGCCGUGGGCGCUGGAGAACUGAGGGGGGCUGCUCCUAGUACGAGAGGACCGGAGUGGACGCAUCACUGGUGUUCGGGUUGUCAUGCCAAUGGCACUGCCCGGUAGCUAAAUGCGGAAGAGAUAAGUGCUGAAAGCAUCUAAGCACGAAACUUGCCCCGAGAUGAGUUCUCCCUGAGACUUAGAGUCUCCUGAAGGAACG